UACAGAGGUGGCGAGCGUUGUUCGGAAUUACUGGGCGUAAAGGGCGCGUAGGCGGUCUUCUAAGUCUUGUGUGAAAUCCCUCGGCUCAACUGAGGAACUGCACGGGAUACUGGAAGACUUGAGUUCGGGAGAGGGAAGCGGAAUUCCGGGUGUAGCGGUGAAAUGCGUAGAUAUCCGGAGGAACACCGGUGGCGUAGGCGGCUUCCUGGGCCGAUUACUGACGCUGAGGCGCGAAAGCUAGGGGAGCAAACGGG
This 254-nucleotide ribosomal RNA is filed under the name uncultured bacterium. Its description in RNAcentral is "partial 16S ribosomal RNA". It matches the Rfam family "Bacterial small subunit ribosomal RNA", at positions 524 to 776 of the family's 1533-position model. The record is from RNAcentral.